GGCAAACAGCGCAGGUCCGCUUCCCGUCUGUGGAAGCUUUGUUCUUUCGCUCUUGACAAUAAAUCUUAAUGCUGCUCUCUCUUUGGGUCCAUGCCAUCUUUAAGAGCUGUGACACUUACAGCCAAGGUCCGGGGCUCCAUUCUUGAAGUCAGCGAGACCACGAAUCCACCGGAAGGAGCAAACUCUGGACAUGGCAUGUGCUUUUGCAGGAAGGACGCUGGACUCUUGCACUAUAAGUUGAAAACAUCGCUUAUAAACAAUACAUCACAGCACACUUGCAGAGAGAGCACUGGUUCAUCAAAAUAAGAUAUGAUCAAGGUACAAAAGAGUUAAAGAAGCUAUUUAUUUUAAUGUUUCCUUGGAGAGCACACUUGUUAUUGUAUGUAUGCAAAAGAUGAUCUUACUCUUGAGAGCCACUAGAACUCUUUGAAGAAAAAAAAAUGCUAUUUGCUAUAGGGAAAUCUUUCUGGAAAAGUAAUAAUUUCACCUUUGAGUCAGCUUCCCUGGACUCUUGCCUCAUACAUCUUCAGCCAAGAUGCCUGCCCCAGCUUUGCCUUCCACCAUGAGUAAAAGCUUCCCAAGUCCUCCCCAGAAGCAGAUGCUGGCGCUAUGCUUCUGGUACAGCCUGAAAAACCUUGAGCCAAUUAAACCUCAGUGAGCUCAAGAUGUCUUUGUUGAAACAGAACCUCCCGAAGUUACAGUAUUGGUUUUGGGGCUCCACACAGAGAACACAUCACGGAAGCUAUAAUUGAGGAAGACAAAGCUGUCAGGACGACACCAAGAGAGUUAGAAAGCCCAAGAGUGGAGCAUUCUUCACCAUGAUUCCACCUGACACUUGGCUGAAAGCAUUUUGCACUAAUUUGCUUUGUGCCCGUUCAGACAAUCUAAAAAGAAAGGAUGGGGGGACAACAAGUGUCUAUUACACAGAAUAAACAGCCUCUGGCAAAUGAAUACA
This 955-nucleotide long non-coding RNA is filed under the name Homo sapiens (human). RNAcentral describes it as "long independently transcribed non-coding RNA 2253, transcript variant 1 (LINC02253)". The record is from RNAcentral. Lineage: Eukaryota; Metazoa; Chordata; Mammalia; Primates; Hominidae.